This 1121-nucleotide long non-coding RNA is filed under the name Homo sapiens (human). RNAcentral's name for it is "novel transcript". The record is from RNAcentral. Lineage: Eukaryota; Metazoa; Chordata; Mammalia; Primates; Hominidae.
GGAGACCACCGUGGAGGUGCAAAGGCGGUGGACUCUCGCCUGUCUUCUCCGUGGGAUCCACAGGAUAGUCCGAGGAUCCUAGGAGAGGGCAGAUGUGAGCGAGCCUGAAGAAACGUCAGGCAGAGCCCCAGGAGUAAACCGCGAAAUCCCUAGGGAUCCAAAAGGAUCUGAAGGAUGCCUCAGGCCUGUCUAGUCGUUGUAGGGAGACAAGGUCUGGCUCUGUCACCCAAGCUGGAGUACAGUGGCACCAGCUCCACUCACUGUAACCUUUGCCUCCCAAGUUGAAGUGAUUCCUGUGCCUCAGCCUCCCAAGUAGCUGGGACUACAGAUAUGGACACUAUUGAUGGGAGCGGCUGGCCAUCUGGAGUGGCAGUUGCCAUCAUGCCAGUAGCGCUUGGGCCGCAUGGGCAGUGUUGUCAGGAGCAGCAGCAGGAGCAGCAGUGGCGGUGGUAGGACCCCGUUCCCUGUGUCCCCAAGGCAUCUGACUGCGCCGCCGCCCCCUAAUGGCUGGGCAGGACCCACUGCCAGGUGCAGACCCUCCAUGGCGGCCUCAAUUUCGCUUCCUACCACAUCUGGGAGCCCAUCAGCGCUGGCAGCCGGGUCUUGCAGGAUUGGCCCCAGGAGCAUCAGGUUCAUUUGUGCGGCAUUAGCCAGGGCCCCCAUGCCACCUGCACCUCGCCCAUGCACUACUGCAGGGAAAACGCAGAGAGGAGUCACGGCCAAGGCUGCACACUCUAUGGAGCCAGUGGCAGCUGGGGACAAGUGGGAGCCCAGCCCCUUCCAAGUUGCCAGGGCAGGAACUCCCCAGGCGCAACUGCAGCUGCCCAAGGAGGGUCUGCGACCCAGGCACUCCUGUGCUCUUGGGAGCCAGGAGAAGGCAGGAGCCCCACCCUCCCAGGCACAGCUGGAGCCUUUCAAGCCACAGCUGCAGACCCAGGCACCUCUGCACUCUUGGGGCCUGGGAAGGCCCCCGUGACCACACAGGCUCGGAAGUGCCUGCCCCCACUGUCUGGGUUCUCCUCGCUGUCAGCACCUGCUCCAAUCUUCGAGCAAAGUUGAGGUCGAGCACACUAUAUUGUGACCAAUAUAAAAUAGAUAUAAAAAUACCUCUUACACUUAAA